AUCGCGUCGCCCCCCAUCAUUCCUCUCCUAACAGGUAGGCUUGGUGAUAGGGGCGGAGAUUGGUCUCCCGUGCUUUUUGUGUGGUUGGCCUAAAAAGGAGUCCCUUUCGGUGGAUACACGGCUAGUGGUGGUUGUAAAGACCCUCUUUAUGUGUUGUGUGUUGUGAGCUGCUAGGGUAACCCUCAACAAAGACCCCAUUGUAUCGUCUUGCGACGAUGCUUCGA
Molecule: unclassified non-coding RNA, 224 nt
Filed under: Lapsana communis
Lineage: Eukaryota; Viridiplantae; Streptophyta; Magnoliopsida; Asterales; Asteraceae
Description: partial internal transcribed spacer 2
Source: RNAcentral